GCUCAUUCAUUGCAAUAGAAAUGCUAUGUCCUAGAAGUGGUUUUUCUAGGGAGAGGCCUAUCUAUUGUAUUUUGGGUGUGCUGUUGUUCCCUGGGAUUUCCCCAAGUGUGGGAACUUAAUUGCAUAGUUUGUAUUAAUGAAAGAUUGCACUUGUGAGUAACACUAGUUUUCC
This 172-nucleotide small nuclear RNA is filed under the name Pogona vitticeps (central bearded dragon). RNAcentral describes it as "U1 spliceosomal RNA (ENSPVIG00000003123.1)". It matches the Rfam family "U1 spliceosomal RNA". From Rfam's summary of the family: U1 is a small nuclear RNA (snRNA) component of the spliceosome (involved in pre-mRNA splicing). Its 5' end forms complementary base pairs with the 5' splice junction, thus defining the 5' donor site of an intron. There are significant differences in sequence and secondary structure between metazoan and yeast U1 snRNAs, the latter being much longer (568 nucleotides as compared to 164 nucleotides in human). The record is from RNAcentral. Lineage: Eukaryota; Metazoa; Chordata; Lepidosauria; Squamata; Agamidae.